AAUGAACGUUGGCGGCGUGGAUUAGGCAUGCAAGUCGAGCGAGAAACCAAUUAGCUUGCUAAGAGGUGGACAGCGGCGAAAGGGAGAGUAACGCGUGGUUACGUGCCCUCGGGACCGGGAUAGUGUCGGGAAACUGGCAGUAAUACCGGAUAACAUCUUCGGAUCAAAUGGUGUGAUUCCGCCCGAGGAUCGGACCGCGUACUAUUAGCUUGUUGGCGGGGUAACGGCCCACCAAGGCUGCGAUGGUUACCGGGUGUGAGAGCAUGGCCCGGCUCACUGGGACUGAGACACUGCCCAGACAUCUACGGAUGGCUGCAGUCGAGAAUCUUCGGCAAUGGACGAAAGUCUGACCGAGCGACGCCGCGUGCGGGAUGAAGGCCCUCGGGUUGUAAACCGCUGUCAGUUGGGAGGAAAUCCAUAGGGGUUAUCCCUUAUGGUUGACCGAGCUUCAGAGGAAGGACGGGCUAAGUUCGUG
RNAcentral lists this ribosomal RNA (475 nucleotides) under uncultured bacterium. Its description in RNAcentral is "bacterial SSU rRNA". It matches the Rfam family "Bacterial small subunit ribosomal RNA", at positions 29 to 507 of the family's 1533-position model. The record is from RNAcentral.